GCCGUCGUUGCACAAUGGUAGUGCGUUGCUUUCCUAUCACUACUCCUUCGUCAGGAUGGCUAAUGGGGAGCGAAAAGUAGGCAGAGGCUGCGGGUUCGAUCCCCGUCGUCGGUU
Pholiota conissans is the source of this 114-nucleotide non-coding RNA. The record is from the annotation of a GenBank genome assembly. Lineage: Eukaryota; Fungi; Basidiomycota; Agaricomycetes; Agaricales; Strophariaceae.